GACAGAGGGUGCAAACGUUGUUCGGAUUUACUGGGCGUAAAGCGCGUGUAGGCGGCUUUGCAAGUCGGAUGUGAAAUCCCACGGCUCAACCGUGGAACGGCUGGGCAUACUGCGGGUCUUGAGACACCUAGGGGCGAGCGGAACAGGCGGUGGAGCGGUGAAAUGCGUAGAUAUCGCCUGGAGCGCCGACGGUGAAAACAGCUCGCUGGGGGUGUUCUGACGCUGAGACACGAAAGCCAGGGGAGCGAACGGG
This 253-nucleotide ribosomal RNA is filed under the name uncultured bacterium. Its description in RNAcentral is "partial 16S ribosomal RNA". It matches the Rfam family "Bacterial small subunit ribosomal RNA", at positions 524 to 776 of the family's 1533-position model. The record is from RNAcentral.